CGACCGGCGCACGGGUGAGUAACACGUAUGCAACCUGGCCGUCACAGGUGGAUAACCGGAAGAAAUUCCGACUAAUACAGCAUAACACUCCUGAGGGACAUCCCUUGGGAGUCAAAGGAGGCAACUCCGGUGACGGAUGGGCAUGCGGCGCAUUAGGUAGUUGGUAGGGUAACGGCCUACCAAGCCGACGAUGCGUAGGGGUUCUGAGAGGAAGGUCCCCCACAUUGGAACUGAGACACGGUCCAAACUCCUACGGGAGGCAGCAG
RNAcentral lists this ribosomal RNA (266 nucleotides) under uncultured bacterium. Its description in RNAcentral is "partial 16S ribosomal RNA". It matches the Rfam family "Bacterial small subunit ribosomal RNA", at positions 92 to 354 of the family's 1533-position model. The record is from RNAcentral.